CUGACUUAAACAAAGGAGGCACUUGGGGCCCCCACCACACCUAAAGCCACGCUUUGAAGGAUCUGCCAAGCUCACUUUUAAUCAUGAGAAAGAAAUUACCCACACGGAGUCAGCAGAAAAUGAGAAAGGAGAGCUCGUGCUGCGAAUAAUUCCAGCAAGUGCCAAGGGGCUAGUUGAGGAAUGGCUUCAUGAGG
This is a non-coding RNA of Echinops telfairi (small Madagascar hedgehog), 194 nucleotides long. NCBI's taxonomy places the organism in Eukaryota, Metazoa, Chordata, Mammalia, Afrosoricida, Tenrecidae. The record is from Rfam.